CACGUAGGGGGCGAGCGUUGUCCGGAUUUAUUGGGCGUAAAGAGCUCGUAGGCGGCUCAGUAAGUCAGGUGUGAAAACUCCAGGCUCAACCUGGGGACGCCACUUGAUACUGCUGUGGCUAGAGUCCGGUAGGGGAGCAUGGAAUUCCUGGUGUAGCGGUGAAAUGUGUAGAGAUCGGGAGGAACACCGGUGGCGAAGGCGGGUCUCUGGGCAUCUCCUGACGCUGAGGCGCGAAAGCGUGGGGAGCAAACGGG
Molecule: ribosomal RNA, 254 nt
Filed under: uncultured bacterium
Lineage: Bacteria
Description: partial 16S ribosomal RNA
Rfam family: Bacterial small subunit ribosomal RNA
Source: RNAcentral